UCACUAUAUUAUGCCAGUUUUUUGGAAGUCUUAGUUUGAGAUGUGUGUAUUUCCUUGGAAAUUGAUGACUUGAAAAAAAUUGCCAAUUCACUGACAGUGCUUUGCAAUGAAAAACAGAAGCAAGAAAAGCAAAGCACAGCAGAAAAGAAGAAAGGUGUGGUUCCUGGAGGAGGAUUAAAAGCCACCAUGAAAGAUGAUCCGGCAGAUUAUGGUGGUUAUGAUGGAGGAUAUGUACAAGAUUAUGAAGACUUCAUGU
RNAcentral lists this long non-coding RNA (256 nucleotides) under Homo sapiens (human). Its description in RNAcentral is "non-protein coding lnc-HMGN5-6:1". The record is from RNAcentral. Lineage: Eukaryota; Metazoa; Chordata; Mammalia; Primates; Hominidae.